Molecule: long non-coding RNA, 1139 nt
Filed under: Heterocephalus glaber (naked mole-rat)
Lineage: Eukaryota; Metazoa; Chordata; Mammalia; Rodentia; Bathyergidae
Description: lncRNA (ENSHGLG00100052022.1)
Source: RNAcentral
GCAGGGUUGGUAGCAAGGAGAGAGCUUUCUCUGGUAUGGCUUGCUGUUCCAGCUGCGAUGCUUGGUUGCAGGGAAUGGGAUUCAGUGAGAACCAAGAGCAGAAUUAAGAAGUCAUGGGAGAGAACACACCCACACCCACACCCACACCCACACCCACUCCUAAGCUAAAACGCCACGCUGUACGUCCAUGAGCUCCGUUGAGACAUUUGCUGCAGGAUAACAAUUCAGCCACAAACAUCAGAAAAGGACGUGAACCCAGACAUAGUGGCGCAUGCCUGAAAUCCCAGCACUCUGGGGGCUGAGGAAGGAGGAUUGCAAGUUCGCUCCCAGUCUGGACAAUUUACAGAGAAUGCAAAGGGAAAGAAAAAAGAUAGGCUGGGUAUAGCUCAUCGCAAAGGGCCUGGGUUCAAAUCCUAGUAUACACCCCUCCACCCCACACAGUGAAUUUGAAGUACUCUGGAGCCCCCCUUGGAAUUGUUUCCAAAUUUGUGUGUUACACAUAACUGGAGAGGAUGUGGAAGUUUUAUCAGAUCCCCAGAAGCCAAAGAUUGCCUUUUAUUUCUCUAAGUAAUUAUUUGCAUUAAAUGUUUAAUUAUUUUGAAUAUUGUACCCAUGUCUAACUAAUGGGCAUUCUAUCUCUCUGUACUUACAGUGAAGCCUAGCUUUUAACAGUGACAUGUUCUGAGAAACAUAUCCUUAGAGGAUUUCAUCAUUGUGUGAACAUCACUGAGGGUAUUUACACAAAACAAGCUGCUGUCAUGUCACUAAGUGACAGAGUCCUAUGGGAUGACCCUUGUAUGUGUGGGCCAUUUUUAGUGUGUGUGUUUGUAUUUGCCUGUGUUUGUGCACAGAACUAUAGAAACAUCUGUGUAGUUCACUAUUUGUGCACACACCUUGGUUCUUAGAAAUUAUUGCUUCUCCAAAGAAUGUGUAUGUUUUCAAAACUUCAACUGCAUAUGGUCAGAAGUCCCUCUCCAAAGGUCCACUGGCUUAUCCACAGGGAAGAACACCUUUCCUCCAGAUUCUUGCCAAUACUAUUUUGUUGUUCUUUCAUUAAGAUGUAUUUUAAAUACAAAUUGUGCAGAAAAAAUAGACACCUGGGAAUGUAUUUACCCAGAUUUAAUAAAUAUAAAUUGUCG